UACGGAGGGUGCAAGCGUUGUUCGGAAUCAUUGGGCGUAAAGCGCGCGCAGGUGGCCAUCCAAGUCUGAUGUGAAAGCCCGAGGCUCAACCUCGGAGGUGCAUUGGAAACUAGAUGGCUUGAGUCCAAGAGAGGUUAGUGGAAUUCGUGGUGUAGGUGUGAAAUCCGUAGAUAUCACGAGGAACACCAGUGGCGAAGGCGACUGACUGGAUUGGUACUGACGCUGAGGCGCGAAAGCGUGGGGAGCAAACAGG
Molecule: ribosomal RNA, 253 nt
Filed under: uncultured bacterium
Lineage: Bacteria
Description: partial 16S ribosomal RNA
Rfam family: Bacterial small subunit ribosomal RNA
Source: RNAcentral